CUGGGGUAUAGAAAUAUGGUCACUUGGUCUUCUCCCGACCGGCAGUAAAACGCUUGCCGAAGUGGGGCGUCCGUUUGGCUGUGCGGGAUGUAUCAAGUUCGCAGUCACGUCCGGUCAGAAGGGGACGUUAAAUCCGAUGCCUCGUGUAAAGAGAGUGCCACGCUCUUUGCACGUUAAGAACCCUUGCAACAACUCUUUGGAGGAGUCCGUAGGUGGCCUGUUGCAAGGCAAAAUUUCUGUCCCUAUCCAAUAUACCCA
Molecule: long non-coding RNA, 258 nt
Filed under: Mytilus galloprovincialis (Mediterranean mussel)
Lineage: Eukaryota; Metazoa; Mollusca; Bivalvia; Mytilida; Mytilidae
Source: RNAcentral